RNAcentral lists this long non-coding RNA (1239 nucleotides) under Macaca fascicularis (crab-eating macaque). RNAcentral describes it as "lncRNA (ENSMFAG00000052954.1)". The record is from RNAcentral. Lineage: Eukaryota; Metazoa; Chordata; Mammalia; Primates; Cercopithecidae.
CUCCAAUAGAAGGAAGUGGGGCUCUCUAGAGAAAUGGCUUAUUGUAUGGCUUGAGCAGCAAAGAUGAGCCUGGAGUAUCUUACGAUGCCAGAAAGCAGGGAAGUGCUAAGCACACACACAAAACCACACACACACAAAAGCACACAGCCAUACACAACCACACACACAACCAUGUACAACCAUACACAACCCCACACAACGAUACACAAAGCCACACAAUUAUACAAAGCACACACAACCCCUCACACACAAUCAUAUAUAACCAUACACAACCCCACACACAACCCCACACUAUCAUACACAACCUCACACACAGAAUCCCACAUCUUACAAAGCACACACAGUCAUACACGCAACCAUACACAACCAUAUACACACAACCACUCACAACCAUAUACACACAACCACUCACAACCACACACACAACCAUACACAAGACCACACACACAACCCCAUGCAAUCAUACAAAUCACACACAACCACACACACAACCAUACACAAGGACACACGGCCACACACAACCAUACACAACCAUAUAUACAAAACCACUCACACAAACACACAAUCCCACACAACCCCAACCAUACACAACCCCACACACACAACCCCACGCAAUCAUACAAAUCCCACACAACCACACACACAACCAUACACAACCCACACACACUAACCCAAUCAUACAAAUUACAACCAGACACACAACCGUACACACCCAGCCACACACAAUCAUACACAACCAUAUAUGUACAACCACAUACAACCAUACACAAUUCCACACACACAACCCACAACCAUACGCAACCACACACAACCCCACACACAAUGACAACUACACACAACCCUACACAAGCACACACAACCAAACACAAUCACAACCACUCACAACCACAGACAUACAACAGCACACAACCACACACAACCAUACACACAAAACCAUUCCCACACAACCAUACACACACAACCAUUCCCACACAACCACACCCAACCAUACACAAACACACACACACGCACACAUAACCAUACACAACUUCACACAUGCACAGCCACACACAACCACACAGACAUACGUGACUAUUGAUGGGGGCAUGCCAAGGGAACACAGGGGCCAACUAGAUGAGCCAGGACAGUUUGAGGAAGGGACAGAUCGAGAAGCAUCAGAUCGUCACCCGCGUAGACAAUAAAUACCCUUGAGUCCACACAGAGAGGUCAGUGAUGGAGUAGGCAGGUGAACCGGAGAAC